Molecule: transfer RNA, 75 nt
Filed under: Candidatus Omnitrophica bacterium CG23_combo_of_CG06-09_8_20_14_all_40_11
Lineage: Bacteria; Pseudomonadati; Candidatus Omnitrophota
Description: tRNA-Ala
Rfam family: tRNA
About the family: Transfer RNA (tRNA) molecules are approximately 80 nucleotides in length.
Source: RNAcentral
GGGGCUGUAGCUCAGAGGGAGAGCAUUUGCAUGGCAUGCAAAGGGCCGAGGGUUCAAGUCCCUCCAGCUCCACCA